This 251-nucleotide ribosomal RNA is filed under the name uncultured bacterium. RNAcentral describes it as "partial 16S ribosomal RNA". It matches the Rfam family "Bacterial small subunit ribosomal RNA", at positions 525 to 775 of the family's 1533-position model. The record is from RNAcentral.
ACGUAUGGUGCAAGCGUUAUCCGGAUUUACUGGGUGUAAAGGGAGCGCAGGCGGUGCGGCAAGUCUGAUGUGAAAGCCCGGGGCUCAACCCCGGUACUGCAUUGGAAACUGUCGUGCUAGAGUGUCGGAGGGGUAAGCGGAAUUCCUAGUGUAGCGGUGAAAUGCGUAGAUAUUAGGAGGAACACCAGUGGCGAAGGCGGCUUACUGGACGAUAACUGACGCUGAGGCUCGAAAGCGUGGGGAGCAAACAG